AGAGUUUGAUCCUGGCUCAGAACGAACGCUGGCGGCGUGGAUAAGACAUGCAAGUCGAGCGAGAUUUUUCGUUGUAGCAAUACGAUGAAAAGUCUAGCGGCGAACGGGUGCUUAACACGUGGGCAACCUGCCAUGAAGUGGGGGGAUAGCUCGCCGAAAGGCGAAUUAAUACCGCAUGUGAUUAGAGAGGACAUCCUUUCGAAAUUAAAGUCGGGGCAACCUGACGCUUCUUGUGGGGCCCGCGGCCUAUCAGCUAGUUGGUGAGGUAACGGCUCACCAAGGCUUUGACGGGUAGCUGGUCUGAGAGGACGACCAGCCACACUGGGACUGAGACACGGCCCAGACACCUACGGGUGGCAGCAGUCGAGAAUUUUUGACAAUGGGGGAAACCCUGAUCGAGCGACGCCGCGUGGAGGAUGAAGGUCUUCGGAUUGUAAACUCCUGUCAUUGGGGAACAAGGUGCAUACGUUAACUGCGUGUGUAUUGAUAGUACCCGAAGAGGAAGGGACGGCUAACUCUGUGCCAGCAGCCGCGGUAAUACAGAGGUCUCAAGCGUUGUUCGGAUUCAUUGGGCGUAAAGGGUGCGUAGGCGGCGCGGUAAGUCGGGUGUGAAAUCUCGGAGCUUAACUCCGAAACUGCAUUCGAUACUGCCGUGCUUGAGGACUGGAGAGGAGACUGGAAUUUACGGUGUAGCGGUGAAAUGCGUAGAUAUCGUAAGGAAGACCAGUGGCGAAGGCGGGUCUCUGGACAGUUCCUGACGCUGAGGCACGAAGGUCAGGGGAGCAAACGGGAUUAGAUACCCUAGUAGUCC
Molecule: ribosomal RNA, 811 nt
Filed under: uncultured bacterium
Lineage: Bacteria
Description: bacterial SSU rRNA
Rfam family: Bacterial small subunit ribosomal RNA
Source: RNAcentral